This 504-nucleotide ribosomal RNA is filed under the name uncultured bacterium. RNAcentral's name for it is "partial 16S ribosomal RNA". It matches the Rfam family "Bacterial small subunit ribosomal RNA", at positions 28 to 523 of the family's 1533-position model. The record is from RNAcentral.
GAUGAACGCUAGCGGCAGGCUUAAUACAUGCAAGUCGUGGGGCAGCAGGGGCGUAGCAAUACGCUCGCUGGCGACCGGCAAACGGGUGCGGAACACGUACACAACCUUCCUUUAAGUGGGGAAUAGCCCGGGGAAACCCGGAUUAAUACCCCGUAACAUAAUGAAGUGGCAUCGCUUUAUUAUUAUAGCUCCGGCGCUUGAAGGUGGGUGUGCGACUGAUUAGGCAGUUGGCGGGGUAACGGCCCACCAAACCUACGAUCAGUAACUGGUGUGAGAGCACGACCAGUCACACGGGAACUGAGACACGGGCCCGACUCCUACGGGAGGCAGCAGUAAGGAAUAUUGGUCAAUGGACGCAAGUCUGAACCAGCCAUGCCGCGUGGAGGAUGAAGGUCCUCUGGAUUGUAAACUUCUUUUAUCUGGGAAGAAAUCCAUGAAUUCUUUUGUGGUUGACGGUACCAGAUGAAUAAGCACCGGCUAACUCCGUGCCAGCCGCCGCCGUAA